RNAcentral lists this ribosomal RNA (449 nucleotides) under uncultured bacterium. RNAcentral describes it as "partial 16S ribosomal RNA". It matches the Rfam family "Bacterial small subunit ribosomal RNA", at positions 29 to 523 of the family's 1533-position model. The record is from RNAcentral.
AACGAACGCUGGCGGCAUGCCUAAUACAUGCAAGUCGAACGAGAUCUUCGGAUCUAGUGGCGCACGGGUGCGUAACGCGUGGGAAUCUGCCCUUCGGUUCGGAAUAACAGUUAGAAAUGACUGCUAAUACCGGAUGAUGACGUAAGUCCAAAGAUUUAUCGCCGAAGGAUGAGCACGCGUAAGAUUAGCUUGUUGGUUAGGUAAAAGCUCACCAAGGCGACGAUCUUUAGCUGGUCUGAGAGGAUGAUCAGCCACACUGGGACUGAGACACGGCCCAGACUCCUACGGGAGGCAGCAGUAGGGAAUAUUGGACAAUGGGCGAAAGCCUGAUCCAGCAAUGCCGCGUGAGUGAUGAAGGCCUUAGGGUUGUAAAGCUCUUUUACCCGAGAUGAUAAUGACAGUAUCGGGAGAAUAAGCUCCGGCUAACUCCGUGCCAGCAGCCGCAGUAA